AAGGAAACAGAAACAGAACAGGGAAAACAAAAACAGAAACAGAAAACCAAAAAAAGAAAAAAAACCCUCUCAUAGCUUUCUUGUUUUGUACCUAAUUUUAAUUUCCAAAAUCUUUUCUCGGUUUUCCCUAACUGCGCUUUGGUUUUUCUUUUCUCUCCAAGGAACUACGUUGUUGUUUUUUCUUCAUUGUUCGUGUUUUCGUGUGUCAGACUUAGAAGAAAUUUUUGUUCUCUUUGAUCAUAUCCUCUAAAUCCUAUCCUGACGUAAUCCAUUUCCUCAUCGACAUCCGAAAACCCAGAAAAAAAAAAUAUUGUUAUUAAAUCUUUCUUAGUCCAUUUUGAUAGGCAAAAGCACCUUCAAUCCUCUGUUUUCUAUUUGAAACCGACCGAAUUAGUCUGAAAAUAAGUUUUUAAUAUCUGGGUUCUUCCCGAAUUCAUCUGAAAUUCAAUUUUGAAUUUCUGGGUAUUGAAAGGACCCUAUGAAAAUCCAUUUUAAUCCGAUAUUUUGAUCUGAAGUGACCAGUAUCGGAUCCGGGAUUUGUUUGUUUUAUCAUGUCAGGGUCUUUAGAUAACUGGAGAAACUAUUUCCGUACUGCAAAUGGGGAUAUUUUCGAUAUCAUCGACCACGCGGUGAUGGUGGCUGCUUUGGAUUGUCCAAAAGAAUUCAGAUUGAGGAGGGAUCGAAUUGCGGAGAAGUUGUUUACGUGUAAAGUGACUCGGUGUUUAGGCUGUGAAAGGGUGGAGUUGAAUGUUCCCUGUAACGAGUCUGAUGAUGAUGAAGAUGAUAUGAUUGGUUGUAAAAGAGAUGAAGGCGGUGGAAGUAAAGAAAGUAAGGUUAAUAGUAGUGGGGAUGAUCGUGAUAAUGAUAAUGAUCAUCAUGUGAAUAUUGAUGAUGAUAAUCAGAUUCUUAGUAAUUUUAGCUAUGGAGAAGCUGAGGCAUUGACUGAUGAGAUUGAAGAGAAGUCACAGAUUGUUGGAGAGGUGUUGAGAAUUAAAGAGAUUAUUGACAACAGCCAAGAUGAGUCUGAUUCCGUGUUGCUUGAUUGCUUGAGGAGGCUUCAAUUGAUGGCUUUGACUGUGGAUACACUCAAGGCAACUGAGAUCGGGAAGGCUGUUAAUGGCCUCAGGAAGCAUGGUUCCAAACAAAUUCGACAUCUUUCUCGAACUCUUAUCGAGGGGUGGAAGGAUUUGGUGGAUGAAUGGGUCAGUGCUACAAAGGCUAUUCCAGUGGUAGCAGAAGGUACACCAGAUUCUGUGGACCCAUCUGUUCUUGACGAAGAAGAAGGGCUUCCUUCCCCUCCUCUGGAUGAUUUAGCUUUCUUUGCUGCUCCAACCGCUGGAAUAGAGCUCUCACAGUUUUUUGAUGGCAUGGAUGAUGAUGGAAAUCCUCGGAACACUGGGGAAUUCAUCAAGAACCGUGAAAAUGGAAGAAAACCAUCAGUGGAGCAGCAGAGUAUUGUCAAGCGAAAACAGCAAACUACAGAUGAGGUGAAUUUGCGUGCCAGGGACAAUAAGAGUCAACAAGUGAAGAGACAGGAAUCUCUUGCGAAACCUAAUAAACCUCCAAACACCAAUUCUGGACCCGGUAGACCUCCCAAGCAAAGUAUGGGGCAAAGAAUAAAUAAUGAAUCAAAGUUGCAGCAAAAAACAGAUAAGGCUGCCAUCCAUAAGAGGCCACAGAAUAGUCAACAAGAUAGAUUCUAAUCUUCAGAUGAAAUUGCGGUCCAAGUAAAACUUGAAGCCACAAAGAGGAAACUUCAAGAGAGUUAUCAACAAGCUCAAAAUGCAAAGAAGCAAAGGACAAUACAAGUCAUGGACUGGCAGGAUCUCCCUAAGCAAGGACUUGGCCAUAGAAAUCCACACGUGAGGCCUGGGAACCAUAACAGGCAUUGGGCAAAUGGUCGGCGGUAAACUCUUCACUUUGGAGCUGUUUUGAUAGCCUCGCAAGUUUCUUCCAUUUAUAAAGCUCUGAUGGGAGAAGACCAAACCCUCGGGUAACUGUCUUGCCUCUCUCAAGUAUCAGCAAUAAGAUUUUGUUCACUCCUGACAGAGAGGUUCAUUCUGAUUCUGAAACACGGAGAAAACAACUUUUGAAACUCUAGUCGUACAUUUCAGAACAUCGAGUCGUAGAGACUUGAUUUGAUAGAAUUAGGGGGUGGGUUAUCUCUUGUUCAUUCAAACUUGUCAAAUUGGUGUUCGAAUGAAUUUCUGUAAAGAGUCUUGAUUUGUACUUGCCCAUUUGAUUGACUACUAAACAUUUUUUUCCCCUCACAAUUGGAACAUUUAUUUCGCAGGAUAAUGUAGCUAACUCUGCACAUAAUAAGUGCUCGUAUAUGUUGUGAUACUCAUCUGUAAGUUACUUAGUAUGAGCAAAUAAGGAGAUUAAAUGUUAUUUUGGAA
Molecule: RNA transcript, 2399 nt
Organism: Pistacia vera
Lineage: Eukaryota; Viridiplantae; Streptophyta; Magnoliopsida; Sapindales; Anacardiaceae
Gene name: probable mediator of RNA polymerase II transcription subunit 26b
Exons: 9
Source: RefSeq, a predicted model, not a curated record